RNAcentral lists this long non-coding RNA (529 nucleotides) under Chinchilla lanigera (long-tailed chinchilla). RNAcentral describes it as "lncRNA (ENSCLAG00000026851.1)". Lineage: Eukaryota; Metazoa; Chordata; Mammalia; Rodentia; Chinchillidae. The record is from RNAcentral.
UCCCGGGAACCCUGCGGUGCAGACUGCAGGACGCGCGCGAGCAGCCCGAGACUCCCCGCACCCCGCCUGCACCCUGGGCUCGGCGGGACCGGGGCCCUGCCCCCUCCCCGUCCCUGGGCCCCACCCCCGACGUGCUGCGCGCUCGGCUGGCCUGUUGUUGGGUGACCUCCCGCCCUAGUCCCUCGCCCUGCCCCUGCGCUCCCUGCUGCUCGCUCAGGACCCCGCCUCUGCCCCUCUGGUCGUCAGACACGGGUCUCUCUGUGCCCCAGGACUCACGCAUCAGGGCGCACACGCAUGGAGCCGGGGCUCCAAUCUCCAUGGCGUGGGAUCGCGGUUUCCUGGACCAGCUUGGCAGCCCCGCGCUCCACACCUGGCUCCAGGACGGAAGAACGCAGAGUCCUCUGGCCUUGGUGCCCCGCACUCCGGGUUACUCUCUGCCACCAGUCCAGAGCCAGGACGUCCUGAAGGGCCUGGCUGAAUGAGACCCUGGCAGGAAGAAGGGACGACUGUCUGCUCUGCACGCUCCCAG